CCACCCCCACGCCCACACACAACCCACCUCCUCUCCCACCUUCUUCCUCCUGUGGUUGCCAGAGCCUCGCAUCGCCAUGCUUUCCUCUGCGCACCGUCCACCCGACGCCGCCCCGAUCCACGGAGCCACCGCAGCCACCUCCGCCUUGCCCUGAAGUCGCCGCUGUCGCUGCGAAGGCCCUGCGCCACCAUCUAGACAUGGCCGCACCUCUACAAACGGCCUCCGCGCCUCCCCUUCCCCACCCCAAAUCGCCUCCAUGCCCCAAGCCACGCCCGACGACUGCCGUGCAUCCCCUCCCCCACCACAUCGUGUCAUCACCCCCACACCCCACCUCGGCCGCCACCUCAUGGCCCGUGCCGCCAGCCUCCCUCGCAGCCACAUCCGCACCGCCACUCUCCCGGGGCACCACCGCACCUCUCACAGCGUCGGAUCCAGCGGUAGCCGCACCGCCGCGCGCUCAUCUCGGUGGACAGUGCCUCAUCUCAGUGGAGUACAACGGUGGAGGGCAAAGGCCCAUGGCGGUAUCGAGCCUCCACCAGUCCCCACAGUGCAGGGGCCGUCAUGGCAGCUCUUCUCCUGGGCCCCCUUCUCCUCCCCCCACGGCGGUGAUUGCCUCUCCAGCUCUGACUCCUCCAUCUCCAUACAUGUGCCCCGGACCAGCCAUGUUCGAUGUAUGGUACCGGUGGCUCUCUUUCAACACCUCCUACUCCACCGCUCCAACAUACCCCUCCAGCAAGUCGCCUGGCACACCAAACCUACCUCCUGUGGCAGCGGCCCGGGAAAAGAUCGGACCCCGGUGAGAUCCGAUUGUGGACUUCUUCUCGGGUGUGCAGUUCGGCCCCCAGCGGUGAUGCAGUGCAGCUCCAGAUCCGCCGGAGAUCUAUGGCAUCGCUCCGAGCAUUGUCGAAGAGCGUCGUGGAGGUUGCGUUUGCCGGUGACGCCCCCUCCACAACUCAUGGUGUCCAAGCUAGGUCCACUAGCCGACGCCUCGAUCCCCUUUGCAUCUUCAUUCAUGCGAGGGAUCCUCCUGGAUCCAUGUUCUCACCUCCAUGGUUGUGUGCGUUCCUGUAGUAGAAUACGAGGAGAGCGACGACGCGCAUAGGUGAUAUGCAGAGAGCAUAAACACAGGAGAAAAGGGGAGAAGGAAGAACUUCAUCGGUUUAGUUCUCUGCCCAGUGCAGUUUAUUUUUGCUGUUCGUUGAUUUAGCAGGAGAGUAUAAGAAGUUCUCCGCCCAGUGUCAUUCUGCUGGGGAUUAUGUCGCAUAUUUUGUUGUGCACUAUGGCACAUGGUUCUUUUUAUUUUAUCUAUUUUGUGCAGUAAGAAA
This is a non-coding RNA of Triticum urartu, 1325 nucleotides long. The record is from RefSeq and is a predicted model, not a curated record. Lineage: Eukaryota; Viridiplantae; Streptophyta; Magnoliopsida; Poales; Poaceae.